GCGGGAAUGGGCAAAUGGUAAAGUCGCCCCCUUCAAACGGGGGAGCCUGAGGGUUCGAGUCCCUCUUCCCGUA
Molecule: transfer RNA, 73 nt
Filed under: Roseobacter phage DSS3P8
Lineage: Duplodnaviria; Heunggongvirae; Uroviricota; Caudoviricetes
Rfam family: tRNA
About the family: Transfer RNA (tRNA) molecules are approximately 80 nucleotides in length. Their secondary structure includes four short double-helical elements and three loops (D, anti-codon, and T loops). Further hydrogen bonds mediate the characteristic L-shaped molecular structure. tRNAs have two regions of fundamental functional importance: the anti-codon, which is responsible for specific mRNA codon recognition, and the 3' end, to which the tRNAs corresponding amino acid is attached (by aminoacyl-tRNA synthetases). tRNAs cope with the degeneracy of the genetic code in two manners: having more than one tRNA (with a specific anti-codon) for a particular amino acid; and 'wobble' base-pairing, i.e. permitting non-standard base-pairing at the 3rd anti-codon position.
Source: Rfam by way of RNAcentral